This 253-nucleotide ribosomal RNA is filed under the name uncultured bacterium. Its description in RNAcentral is "partial 16S ribosomal RNA". It matches the Rfam family "Bacterial small subunit ribosomal RNA", at positions 524 to 776 of the family's 1533-position model. The record is from RNAcentral.
UACGUAGGUGGCAAGCGUUGUCCGGAAUUAUUGGGCGUAAAGCGCGCGUAGGCGGUUUUUUAAGUCUGAUGUGAAAGGUCAGGGCUUAACCGUGGAGAGUCAUUGGAAACUGGAAGACUUGAGUGCAGAAGAGGAAAGUGGAAUUCCAUGUGUAGCGGUGAAAUGCGUAGAGAUAUGGAGGAACACCAGUGGCGAAGGCGACUUUCUGGUCUGUAACUGACGCUGAGGUGCGAAAGCGUGGGGAUCAAACAGG